This 428-nucleotide unclassified non-coding RNA is filed under the name Ixodes scapularis (black-legged tick). Its description in RNAcentral is "uncharacterized LOC121832999, transcript variant X2". Lineage: Eukaryota; Metazoa; Arthropoda; Arachnida; Ixodida; Ixodidae. The record is from RNAcentral.
AAUGUGGUCGACUUCGAGCGUAGGACGGCGUACAAGGUGUCUUGGGACGGCGACGCGAACACUCGAGGAGGCUAUUACGACGCCGAGAUCCUCGAAUUGACGGGACUACCUGCGGCUCGGCUGUCGAUGCGGGAGGUGCUGUAGGGCCCUACUGCCUAACACUUGCUGACGAGGACAUCCUUGCAAAGAAUGAGAUCGUGGAUCCUAGCAUCGGCCUCCAGAAAAGGAAGGAAUGGGGACACGUUUUCCAGGGAGCCGCAAGCUGCACUUGGACCCGCAAAAAGCCGCGUGCGGCUCGCGAGCCUCACUUUGGCCACUCCUGAGAUAAUGUAAGCACAGUAGAUUGAAUCGAUUGCAACAAGAAGUCAUUAAAACAUUAUUGUAGCCAGGCUCUUAAUUGUAGUUACAGCCAGUGCCUGGAAAACAUU